This is a non-coding RNA of Notechis scutatus (mainland tiger snake), 254 nucleotides long. The record is from RefSeq and is a predicted model, not a curated record. Lineage: Eukaryota; Metazoa; Chordata; Lepidosauria; Squamata; Elapidae.
CGCUCGAACCCUACCUGCCGGGCGGCGGCGGCGGCGGCGGUGGCUUGCGCGCCGGUGUCUUCUCCUAAACGAAGUUCAAAAAGAUCAAUGCUCUUCCUGUCCUAUUGCUCAAGACCACUUCCAAAGAGCAUGACAGGCAAAACUAUGGAUUGCACAAUUCUGAUACUUGCAGAGUUGGGAAGCGAAUUGUGCUGAGGGCAACGAUGACCACAUUCAGCCCGUUGAUUGUUGCACUUGCUACACAAAGCCAGAAA